UGGUAACAUUAAGUGUUCAAAACCUGUGGC
Molecule: non-coding RNA, 30 nt
Filed under: Mus musculus (house mouse)
Lineage: Eukaryota; Metazoa; Chordata; Mammalia; Rodentia; Muridae
Source: RNAcentral